This 591-nucleotide ribosomal RNA is filed under the name uncultured bacterium. RNAcentral describes it as "bacterial SSU rRNA". It matches the Rfam family "Bacterial small subunit ribosomal RNA", at positions 62 to 664 of the family's 1533-position model. The record is from RNAcentral.
UCGAACGGACUCAUAUUGAAACCUAGUGAUUUAUGAGUUAGUGGCGGACGGGUGAGUAACGCGUGGAUAACCUGCCGUAUACCGGGGGAUAACACUUAGAAAUAGGUGCUAAUACCGCAUAAGCGCACGGCUCCGCAUGGGGCAGUGUGAAAAACUCCGGUGGUAUACGAUGGAUCCGCGUCUGAUUAGCUAGUUGGCGGGGUAACGGCCCACCAAGGCAGCGAUCAGUAGCCGGCCUGAGAGGGUGGACGGCCACAUUGGGACUGAGACACGGCCCAAACUCCUACGGGAGGCAGCAGUGGGGAAUAUUGCACAAUGGGGGAAACCCUGAUGCAGCGACGCCGCGUGAGUGAAGAAGUAUCUCGGUACGUAAAGCUCUAUCAGCAGGGAAGAAAAUGACGGUACCUGACCAAGAAGCCCCGGCUAACUACGUGCCAGCAGCCGCGGUAAUACGUAGGGGGCAAGCGUUAUCCGGAUUUACUGGGUGUAAAGGGAGCGUAGACGGCAGCACAAGUCUGGAGUGAAAUCCCGGGGCUUAACCCCGGAACUGCUUUGGAAACUGUGCGGCUGGAGUGCAGGAGGGGUAAGCGG